Ribosomal RNA from Sinocyclocheilus anshuiensis, 117 nucleotides. NCBI's taxonomy places the organism in Eukaryota, Metazoa, Chordata, Actinopteri, Cypriniformes, Cyprinidae. The record is from Ensembl.
GCUGGCAGCCAUAUCACCCUGUAGCCCAAGGCUGGUUACCCACUGAAGCUAAGCAGGGCUGAGCCUGGUCAGUACCUGGAUGGGAGACCUCCUGGGAAAACUAGGUUGCUGCUGGAA